AAUGAACGUUGGCGGCACGCCUAAUACAUGCAAGUCGAACGCGAUCUUCGGAUCGAGUGGCGGACGGGUGAGUAAUACAUGGGAAUCUACCGAGAAGUGGGGAACAACUAUUGGAAACAGUAGCUAAUACCGCAUAAUCCACAUUGGGAAAGCUUUUGCGCUUUUCGAUGAGCCCAUGUCUGAUUAGCUAGUUGGUAAGGUAAAAGCUUACCAAGGCGACGAUCAGUAGCUGGUUUGAGAGGAUGAUCAGCCACACUGGGACUGAGACACGGCCCAGACUCCUACGGGAGGCAGCAGUAGGGAAUCUUGCGCAAUGGACGAAAGUCUGACGCAGCGAUGCCGCGUGAGUGAUGACGGUUUUCGGACUGUAAAGCUCUUUUAUUAGGGAAGAUAAUGACGGUACCUAAAGAAAAAGUCCCGGCUAACUCCGUGCCAGCCGCCGCCGUAAAAC
This 451-nucleotide ribosomal RNA is filed under the name uncultured bacterium. RNAcentral describes it as "bacterial SSU rRNA". It matches the Rfam family "Bacterial small subunit ribosomal RNA", at positions 29 to 526 of the family's 1533-position model. The record is from RNAcentral.